AAUGAUAUGCCUGAUAAAAGGAUUAUUUUGAUAGAAUAAAGCAUGCAUUUUAAAUAAAUGCUUUCAUUA
RNAcentral lists this transfer RNA (69 nucleotides) under Tetraponera rufonigra. RNAcentral describes it as "tRNA-Ile". Lineage: Eukaryota; Metazoa; Arthropoda; Insecta; Hymenoptera; Formicidae. The record is from RNAcentral.